GGUGGGCUUUGUGGCUUUAGGCCCAGUGGGCUGGGUUAUCACAUUCUAUCUCCCUUAAAAAAAUUUUAUCCUCGAAAUUUAAUAUACCUUCAUUUUUAAAUAAGUAUGGAUAUCUCAUCUUCAUAUCAUCUUCAAGCUCCCAUGUAGCCUCUCUCUCUUCAUGAUUACUCCAGUGAAUCUUCACAUACGGAAUGAUGCAUCGUCUUAGAACUUGCUCUUUUCG
This 223-nucleotide long non-coding RNA is filed under the name Elaeis guineensis (African oil palm). RNAcentral's name for it is "long non-coding RNA (EGUI_LNC081304)". The record is from RNAcentral. Lineage: Eukaryota; Viridiplantae; Streptophyta; Magnoliopsida; Arecales; Arecaceae.